Molecule: ribosomal RNA, 435 nt
Filed under: uncultured Lachnospiraceae bacterium
Lineage: Bacteria; Bacillati; Bacillota; Clostridia; Lachnospirales; Lachnospiraceae
Description: partial 16S ribosomal RNA
Rfam family: Bacterial small subunit ribosomal RNA
Source: RNAcentral
ACGGGAGGCAGCAGUGGGGAAUAUUGCACAAUGGGGGAAACCCUGAUGCAGCGAUGCCGCGUGAAGGAUGAAGAUUUUCGGAUCGUAAACUUCUAUCAGCAAGGAAGAAAACGGACAGUACUUGACUAAGAAGCCCCGGCUAACUACGUGCCAGCAGCCGCGGUAAUACGUAGGGGGCAAGCGUUAUCCGGAAUUACUGGGUGUAAAGGGUGCGUAGGCGGCAUAGCAAGUUUGAUGUGAAAUACAGGGGCUUAACCCCUGUCAUGCAUCAAAAACUACUAAGCUAGAGUGCAGGAGAGGAAAGCGGAAUUCCUAGUGUAGCGGUGAAAUGCGUAGAUAUUAGGAAGAACACCGGUGGCGAAGGCGGCUUUCUGGACUGCAACUGACGCUGAGGCACGAAAGCGUGGGGAGCAAACAGGAUUAGAUACCCUGGUA